AGAGUCGGCCAGGCAAUCGCUGUAUCUCAUUGAGAUGCAGAGGAAAGUCCGGGCUCCGUUAGGCAAGGCGCCAGGUAACUCCUGGAGGGUGCGAACCCAUGGAAAGUGCCACAGAAAAUAUACCGCCAGCGCGCAAGCGUUGGUAAGGGUGAAAUGGUGCGGUAAGAGCGCACCGCGCGGGUGGCAACACUCCGUGGCAUGGCAAACCCCGCCUGGAGCAAGACCAAAUAGGGGAGUAAGUGGGUUUCGGCCCACACCGGGCCUGAACGGGCUCCCGGGUAGGUUGCUUGAGGCAGUCGGUGACGGCUGUCCCAGAUGAAUGAUUGUCCACGACAGAACCCGGCUUACGGCCGGCUCUUUCU
This 362-nucleotide RNase P RNA is filed under the name Woeseiaceae bacterium. RNAcentral describes it as "RNase P RNA component class A". It matches the Rfam family "Bacterial RNase P class A". Rfam says of the family: Ribonuclease P (RNase P) is a ubiquitous endoribonuclease, found in archaea, bacteria and eukarya as well as chloroplasts and mitochondria. Lineage: Bacteria; Pseudomonadati; Pseudomonadota; Gammaproteobacteria; Woeseiales; Woeseiaceae. The record is from RNAcentral.